RNAcentral lists this ribosomal RNA (301 nucleotides) under uncultured bacterium. Its description in RNAcentral is "partial 16S ribosomal RNA". It matches the Rfam family "Bacterial small subunit ribosomal RNA", at positions 509 to 809 of the family's 1533-position model. The record is from RNAcentral.
CAGUCGCCGCGGUAAUACGUAGGUGGCAAGCGUUGUCCGGAAUUAUUGGGCGUAAAGGGCUCGCAGGCGGUUUCUUAAGUCUGAUGUGAAAGCCCCCGGCUCAACCGGGGAGGGUCAUUGGAAACUGGGAAACUUGAGUGCGGAAGAGGAGAGUGGAAUUCCACGUGUAGCGGUGAAAUGCGUAGAGAUGUGGAGGAACACCAGUGGCGAAGGCGACUCUCUGGUCUGUAACUGACGCUGAGGAGCGAAAGCGUGGGGAGCGAACAGGAUUAGAUACCCCCGUAGUCCCUGUCUCUUAUAA